AGCGAACGCUGGCGGCAGGCUUAACACAUGCAAGUCGAACGGGCGUAGCAAUACGUCAGUGGCAGACGGGUGAGUAACGCGUGGGAACGUACCUUUUGGUUCGGAACAACCCAGGGAAACUUGGGCUAAUACCGGAUAAGCCCUUACGGGGAAAGAUUUAUCGCCGAAAGAUCGGCCCGCGUCUGAUUAGCUAGUUGGUGAGGUAACGGCUCACCAAGGCGACGAUCAGUAGCUGGUCUGAGAGGGAU
This 248-nucleotide ribosomal RNA is filed under the name uncultured bacterium. Its description in RNAcentral is "partial 16S ribosomal RNA". It matches the Rfam family "Bacterial small subunit ribosomal RNA", at positions 29 to 301 of the family's 1533-position model. The record is from RNAcentral.